RNAcentral lists this ribosomal RNA (501 nucleotides) under Triticum aestivum (bread wheat). RNAcentral's name for it is "partial small subunit ribosomal RNA". Lineage: Eukaryota; Viridiplantae; Streptophyta; Magnoliopsida; Poales; Poaceae. The record is from RNAcentral.
AUGGCGGAGCAACCGUCCGCCAAACGUCACCAUGGCAACACUUCAAACAAGAGCAACAACCUCGCCGACGUUCACGUCCCCGGCGAGAAGCACGAGUACACCAAAACGCUCAAAGGGGUUGAGCUCCACGGCAAAGGGACACUGGAGAUCGUCUGCACCAGCGAACCAGACAAGGCUGACCAGAUGAUGAGCAGGCUCAGGAUGAAGGGCGGCGGCUUUUUCUCAAAACUAAAUUUUGAACUUGAUAUAGAAUUAAUGCACAAAGAUGUAUCAAGCACUGGCCCAAGCGCCUCAGUCUUCCUGCAGGAGGAGAAAUUGUACACAUUUGUUGGUUUCAGCAUUGGAGGUGACAAGCAGAAGCUGGGGGAGUCUGGUUUGGAAAUCAACCCCAACAACUUCAUCGACAUGCAGCGCAAGUGGAAAGAUCCAAAGACCGACAAAUACUACGACUCCUUGGCCGAUGUUGCAGGCGGCGUCAUCCACCAUUCUACGAACGCAUGA